AGCAGCCGCGGUAAUUCCAGCUCCAAUAGCGUAUAUUAAAGUUGUUGCAGUUAAAAAGCUCGUAGUUGAAUUUCGGGAUCAGUAGGUUGGUCAUGCCUUUGGUAUGUACUGGUCUCACUGAUUCCUCCCUCUUGAAGAACUGUAAUGUCAUUAAUUUGGUGUUGCGGGGAAUCAGGACUGUUACUUUGAAAAAAUUAGAGUGUUUAAAGCAGGCUUACGCUUGAAUACAUUAGCAUGGAAUAAUGAAAUAGGACGUUUGAUCCUAUUUUGUUGGUUUCUAGGAUUGACGUAAUGAUUAAUAGGGAUAGUUGGGGGCAUUAGUAUUCAAUUGUCAGAGGUGAAAUUCUUGGAUUUAUUGAAGACUAACUACUGCGAAAGCAUUUGCCAAGGAUGUUUUCAUUAAUCAAGAACGAAAGUUAGGGGAUCGAAGACGAUCAGAUACCGUCGUAGUCUUAACCAUAAACUAUGCCGACUAGGGAUCGGACGAAGUUAAUUUUUUAAUGACUCGUUCGGCGCCUUA
Molecule: unclassified non-coding RNA, 520 nt
Filed under: uncultured Glomus
Lineage: Eukaryota; Fungi; Glomeromycota; Glomeromycetes; Glomerales; Glomeraceae
Description: SSU rRNA
Rfam family: Eukaryotic small subunit ribosomal RNA
Source: RNAcentral